AUGCUUAACACAUGCAAGUCGAACGGGAUGCUUAGGCAUCUAGUGGCGGACGGGUGAGUAACGCGUGAGAAUCUGGCUCCAGGUCGGGGAUAACAGUUGGAAACGACUGCUAAUACCGGAUGUGCCGAAAGGUGAAAGAUUUAUUGCCUGGAGAUGAGCUCGCGUCUGAUUAGCUAGUUGGUGGUGUAAGGGACCACCAAGGCGUCGAUCAGUAGCUGGUCUGAGAGGAUGAUCAGCCACACUGGGACUGAGACACGGCCCAGACUCCUACGGGAGGCAGCAGUGGGGAAUUUUCCGCAAUGGGCGAAAGCCUGACGGAGCAAUACCGCGUGAGGGAGGAAGGCUCUUGGGUCGUAAACCUCUUUUCUCAAGGAAGAAGAAAGUGACGGUACUUGAGGAAUAAGCAUCGGCUAGCUCCGUGCCAGCAGCCGCGGUAAUACGGAGGAUGCAAGCGUUAUCCGGAAUGAUUGGGCGUAAAGGGUCUGCAGGUGGAACUGAAAGUCUGCUGUUAAAGAGUUUGGCUUAACCAAAUAAAAGCGGUGGAAACUACAGAACUAGAGUGCGGUAGGGGCAAAAGGAAUUCCUGGUGUAGCGGUGAAAUGCGUAGAUAUCAGGAAGAACACCGGUGGCGAAAGCGUUUUGCUAGACCGUAACUGACACUGAGGGACGAAAGCUAGGGGAGCGAAUGGGAUUAGAUACCCCAGUAGUCCUAGCCGUAAACGAUGGAUACUAGGCGUGGCUUGUAUCGACCCGAGCCGUGCCGGAGCUAACGCGUUAAGUAUCCCGCCUGGGGAGUACGCACGCAAGUGUGAAACUCAAAGGAAUUGACGGGGGCCCGCACAAGCGGUGGAGUAUGUGGUUUAAUUCGAUGCAGCGCGAAGAACCUUACCAAGACUUGACAUCCUGCGAAUCCUGGUGAAAGCUGGGAGUGCCUUCGGGAGCGCAGAGACAGGUGGUGCAUGGCUGUCGUCAGCUCGUGUCGUGAGAUGUUGGGUUAAGUCCCGCAACGAGCGCAACCCUCGUUUUUAGUUGCCAGCAUUAAGUUGGGCACUCUAGAGAGACUGCCGGUGACAAACCGGAGGAAGGUGAGGAUGACGUCAAGUCAGCAUGCCCCUUACGUCUUGGGCUACACACGUACUACAAUGCUACGGACAGAGGGCAGCAAGCCAGGGAUGGCAAGCGAAUCCAGAAACCGUAGCUCAGUUCAGAUCGAAGGCUGCAACUCGCCUUCGUGAAGGAGGAAUCGCUAGUAAUUGCAGGUCAGCAUACUGCAGUGAAUUCGUUCCCGGGCCUUGUACACACCGCCCGUCACACCAUGGAAGUUGGUCACGCCCGAAGUCAUUACCCCAACCGAAAGGAGGGGGAUGCCUAAGGUAGGACU
RNAcentral lists this ribosomal RNA (1381 nucleotides) under Cylindrospermopsis raciborskii XM2. Its description in RNAcentral is "bacterial SSU rRNA". It matches the Rfam family "Bacterial small subunit ribosomal RNA". The record is from RNAcentral. Lineage: Bacteria; Bacillati; Cyanobacteriota; Cyanophyceae; Nostocales; Aphanizomenonaceae.